GUUUAUGUUAAAACCUUGUUAUUUGUAGCGAAUAUCGUGGUUGCUCUCCAUCAAUGAAGAUAUUAAGAAAAAUGAAAAAAGAAAAUACAGACUGCCAGAAAGCACGCAUCUGCAAGGGCUUUGUAGCCAGACUUUAGAAAGUGCCCUUGCUUCUCAACAAAGGAGCUAAGAAUCCAAUAAAGCACAACAAAAGAAUAUACACAUCAAAUAUUCUCCAUAAAAUUAAUAGCAAAAUGAAAUAUUGUGGCAUAUCCUCAACAAUGACGAAAUUAAGGAAAAAGGAGAGGGCAAAGUUCUAGUGAUGGUAGAUACCAUGUAGUGCACUUGCAUUGUUAAGAAGAGUGAAGAAUAAGAAGGGAAU
This 361-nucleotide long non-coding RNA is filed under the name Rattus norvegicus (Norway rat). Its description in RNAcentral is "long non-coding RNA NONRATT031540". Lineage: Eukaryota; Metazoa; Chordata; Mammalia; Rodentia; Muridae. The record is from RNAcentral.